RNAcentral lists this ribosomal RNA (1938 nucleotides) under Staphylococcus pseudintermedius. RNAcentral describes it as "partial 23S ribosomal RNA". It matches the Rfam family "Bacterial large subunit ribosomal RNA", at positions 837 to 2777 of the family's 2925-position model. The record is from RNAcentral. Lineage: Bacteria; Bacillati; Bacillota; Bacilli; Caryophanales; Staphylococcaceae.
ACUUGGAGAUAGCUGGUUCUCUCCGAAAUAGCUUUAGGGCUAGCCUCAAGUGAUGAUUAUUGGAGGUAGAGCACUGUUUGGACGAGGGGCCCCUCUCGGGUUACCGAAUUCAGACAAACUCCGAAUGCCAAAUAAUUUAACUUGGGAGUCAGAAUGUGGGUGAUAAGGUCCAUAUUCGAAAGGGAAACAGCCCAGACCACCAGCUAAGGUCCCAAAAUAUAUGUUAAGUGGAAAAGGAUGUGGCGUUGCCCAGACAACUAGGAUGUUGGCUUAGAAGCAGCCAUCAUUUAAAGAGUGCGUAAUAGCUCACUAGUCGAGUGACACUGCGCCGAAAAUGUACCGGGGCUAAACAUAUUACCGAAGCUGUGGAUUGUCCUUUGGACAAUGGUAGGAGAGCGUUCUAAGGGCGUUGAAGCAUGAUCGCAAGGACAUGUGGAGCGCUUAGAAGUGAGAAUGCCGGUGUGAGUAGCGAAAGACGGGUGAGAAUCCCGUCCACCGAUUGACUAAGGUUUCCAGAGGAAGGCUCGUCCGCUCUGGGUUAGUCGGGUCCUAAGCUGAGGCCGACAGGCGUAGGCGAUGGAUAACAGGUUGAUAUUCCUGUACCACCAUUAUUCGUUUUAAGCGAUGGGGGGACGCAGUAGGAUAGGCGAAGCGUGCUGUUGGAGUGCACGUCCAAGCAGUGAGAUUGAGUGUUAGGCAAAUCCGGCACUCUUAAGAUUGAGCUGUGAUGGGGAGAGGAACUUGUUCCUCGAGUCGUUGAUUUCACACUGCCGAGAAAAGCCUCUAGCUAGAAUAACGGUGCCCGUACCGCAAACCGACACAGGUAGUCAAGAUGAGAAUUCUAAGGUGAGCGAGCGAACUCUCGUUAAGGAACUCGGCAAAAUGACCCCGUAACUUCGGGAGAAGGGGUGCUCUUUGAGGUUCACGCUUCGAAGAGCCGCAGUGAAUAGGCCCAAGCGACUGUUUAUCAAAAACACAGGUCUCUGCUAAACCGUAAGGUGACGUAUAGGGGCUGACGCCUGCCCGGUGCUGGAAGGUUAAGAGGAGUGGUUAGCGCAAGCGAAGCUACGAAUCGAAGCCCCAGUAAACGGCGGCCGUAACUAUAACGGUCCUAAGGUAGCGAAAUUCCUUGUCGGGUAAGUUCCGACCCGCACGAAAGGCGUAACGAUUUGGGCACUGUCUCAACGAGAGACUCGGUGAAAUCAUAGUACCGGUGAAGAUGCCGGUUACCCGCGACAGGACGGAAAGACCCCGUGGAGCUUUACUGUAGCCUGAUAUUGAAAUUCGGUACAGUUUGUACAGGAUAGGUAGGAGCCUUAGAAGCGUGAGCGCUAGCUUACGUGGAGGCAUUGGUGGGAUACUACCCUAAUUGUAUUGGAUUUCUAACCCGCAGCACUUAUCGUGCUGGGAGACAGUGUCAGGCGGGCAGUUUGACUGGGGCGGUCGCCUCCUAAAGAGUAACGGAGGCGCUCAAAGGUUCCCUCAGAAUGGUUGGAAAUCAUUCAUAGAGUGUAAAGGCAUAAGGGAGCUUGACUGCGAGACCUACAAGUCGAGCAGGGUCGAAAGACGGACUUAGUGAUCCGGUGGUUCCGCAUGGAAGGGCCAUCGCUCAACGGAUAAAAGCUACCCCGGGGAUAACAGGCUUAUCUCCCCCAAGAGUUCACAUCGACGGGGAGGUUUGGCACCUCGAUGUCGGCUCAUCGCAUCCUGGGGCUGUAGUCGGUCCCAAGGGUUGGGCUGUUCGCCCAUUAAAGCGGUACGCGAGCUGGGUUCAGAACGUCGUGAGACAGUUCGGUCCCUAUCCGUCGUGGGCGUAGGAAAUUUGAGAGGAGCUGUCCUUAGUACGAGAGGACCGGGAUGGACAUACCUCUGGUGUACCAGUUGUCGUGCCAACGGCAUAGCUGGGUAGCUAUGUAUGGACGGGAUAAGUGCUGAAAG